UACGAAGGGUGCAAGCGUUACUCGGAAUUACUGGGCUUAAAGCGUGCGUAGGUGGUUCGUUAAGUCUGAUGUGAAAGCCCUGGGCUCAACCUGGGAAUGGCAUUGGAAAUUGGCGACCUAGAGUGCGGUAGAGGGUAGUGGAAUUCCCGGUGUAGCAGUGAAAUGCGUAGAGAUCGGGAGGAACAUCUGUGGCGAAGGCGACUGCCUGGACCAGCACUGACACUGAGGCACGAAAGCGUGGGGAGCAAACAGG
This 253-nucleotide ribosomal RNA is filed under the name uncultured bacterium. Its description in RNAcentral is "partial 16S ribosomal RNA". It matches the Rfam family "Bacterial small subunit ribosomal RNA", at positions 524 to 776 of the family's 1533-position model. The record is from RNAcentral.